GUUACGAUAAUAUUUAGUUAUACAAGUUCCCGAAUUAUUAAGAUCUAAUUAUAAUUAAGUAAUAUUUAGCUUAUGAUUGAUUAUGUUGUUUCAUAAACAUAUAAUAAAAUUAUAGUUAGGGAUGAAAAGUCUUCAAUUAAUAGGAUAUCUGGAUUUAGGUUAAAUAUAUGUAGUAUAAUUAUGACAUAUUUAAGGUUAUAAGGUCUUAAAUAGAAAAAAUAUCUAAUACUUUGGUUUACCUAAAUUUAAUAGAUUAUUAGGGUUAUGGGUUAUAUUUACUGCAAAUAGAGUUUGCCUUACUAUAAUAUUAUUUUUGUAUUUGAUUAUUUUUUUAAUAACUUAACUAUAAUGAAAAUUUUACUCAUAAUUAGACUAUGUUAUUAUUAGUAUAUAUAUAAAAAAAUUUGUAAAAAGAACUCGGCAAAAAUAUUUUUAAUUAUUCCGGACUGUUUAUCAAAAACAUAGCUUAAAGAAAAUAAAUUUUAAGUGAUCCCUGCCCAGUGAGUUUAAAUUUAACGGCCGCAGUACAUUGACUGUGCUAAGGUAGCAUAAUAAUUUGGCUUUUAAUUGAAGUCUAGAAUGAAUGGGUUUACUAGGAAUAUACUGUUUCUUAUAAAUUUUAUUUAAGUUACUUAUUGAGUGAAAAUUCUCAAGCUUAUUAAUAAGAAAGACGAGAAGACCCUUAGAAUUUUUCUAUUUUAAAUAAUCAGUAACAGAUUUAUUAAUAGUUUGGUUGGGGCAACCAUUAAACAAAUAAAUUUUACAAAUUUUUUUUAACCACCCAUAUAACAAUAUUAAAUUUGAGUAAAUUACCUAAGGGAUAACAGCAUAAUUAAUUAAAUAGAUUGUGACCUCGAUGUUGGACUAGGUAAAAUUAUUAGUAAGUCACUAUUAAUACUGUUCUGUUCGAACAUAAUGUACCUACUUGAUCUGAGUCAGACCGCUACGG
This 949-nucleotide ribosomal RNA is filed under the name Gomphroa boissii. Its description in RNAcentral is "Hypnophila boissii partial 16S ribosomal RNA". The stretch from base 396 to 653 matches the Rfam family "Archaeal large subunit ribosomal RNA", at positions 1787 to 2143 of the family's 2987-position model. Lineage: Eukaryota; Metazoa; Mollusca; Gastropoda; Stylommatophora; Azecidae. The record is from RNAcentral.